AUUGAACGCUGGCGGAAUGCUCUACACAUGCAAGUCGAACGGCAGCACGGACUUCGGUCUGGUGGCGAGUGGCGAACGGGUGAGUAAUGUACCGGAACGUGCCCAGUCGUGGGGGAUAACGUAGUGAAAAUUACGCUAAUACCGCAUACGAUCUAUGGAUGAAAGCGGGGGAUCGCAAGACCUCGCGCGAUUGGAGCGGCCGAUAUCAGAUUAGGUAGUUGGUGGGGUAAAGGCCCACCAAGCCAACGAUCUGUAGCCGAUCGGAGAGAACGACCAGCCACAAUGGAACUGAGACACGGGCCAGACGCCUACGGUGGUCAGCAGUGGGAAAUUUUGGACAAUGGGCGAAGGCCUGAUCCAGCCAUUACGCGUGCAGGAUGAAGGCCCUCGGGUUGUAAACUGCUUUUGUACAGAACGAAAAGGUUUCUACUAAUACUAGGAGCUCAUGACGGUACUGUAAGAAUAAGCACCGGCUAACUACGUGCCAGCCGCCGCCGUAA
RNAcentral lists this ribosomal RNA (500 nucleotides) under uncultured bacterium. RNAcentral describes it as "partial 16S ribosomal RNA". It matches the Rfam family "Bacterial small subunit ribosomal RNA", at positions 30 to 523 of the family's 1533-position model. The record is from RNAcentral.